This 1379-nucleotide ribosomal RNA is filed under the name metagenome. RNAcentral describes it as "bacterial LSU rRNA". It matches the Rfam family "Bacterial large subunit ribosomal RNA", at positions 1551 to 2925 of the family's 2925-position model. The record is from RNAcentral.
CUAUACCGAGGCUGCCGAUCGAGCGAGCUUGCUCGCGAAGUGAUUGAACGAGGUUCCAGGAAAAGCCACUAAGCUUCAGCUACACACGACCGUACCGCAAACCGACACUGGUGCGCGAGAUGAGUAUUCUAAGGCGCUUGAGAGAACUCGGGAGAAGGAACUCGGCAAAUUGACACCGUAACUUCGGAAGAAGGUGUGCCCUAGUAGUGUGAAGUGAACAACGGAGCAUGAAUGGGUUGCAAAAAAUCGGUGGCUGCGACUGUUUAUUAAAAACACAGCACUCUGCAAACACGAAAGUGGACGUAUAGGGUGUGACGCCUGCCCGGUGCUGGAAGAUUAAAUGAUGGGGUGCAAGCUCUUGAUUGAAGUCCCAGUAAACGGCGGCCGUAACUAUAACGGUCCUAAGGUAGCGAAAUUCCUUGUCGGGUAAGUUCCGACCUGCACGAAUGGCGUAACGAUGGCCACACUGUCUCCUCCCGAGACUCAGCGAAGUUGAAAUGUUUGUGAUGAUGCAAUCUCCCCGCGGAAAGACGGAAAGACCCCAUGAACCUUUACUGUAGCUUUGUAUUGGACUUUGAACAGAUCUGUGUAGGAUAGGUGGGAGGCUUUGAAGCAGGGUCGCUAGAUCUUGUGGAGCCAACGUUGAAAUACCACCCUGGUGUGUUUGAGGUUCUAACCUAGGUCCAUUAUCUGGAUCGGGGACAGUGCAUGGUAGGCAGUUUGACUGGGGCGGUCUCCUCCCAAAGCGUAACGGAGGAGUUCGAAGGUACGCUAGUUACGGUCGGACAUCGUGACGAUAGUGCAAUGGCAUAAGCGUGCUUAACUGCGAGACUGACAAGUCGAGCAGAUGCGAAAGCAGGACAUAGUGAUCCGGUGGUUCUGUAUGGAAGGGCCAUCGCUCAACGGAUAAGAGGUACUCUGGGGAUAACAGGCUGAUACCGCCCAAGAGUUCAUAUCGACGGCGGUGUUUGGCACCUCGAUGUCGGCUCAUCUCAUCCUGGGGCUGUAGCCGGUCCCAAGGGUAUGGCUGUUCGCCAUUUAAAGAGGUACGUGAGCUGGGUUUAAAACGUCGUGAGACAGUUUGGUCCCUAUCUUCCGUGGGCGCUGCAGAUUUGAGGAAGCCUGCUCCUAGUACGAGAGGACCGGAGUGGACGCACCUCUGGUGUAUCGGUUGUCACGCCAGUGGCAUUGCCGAGUAGCUAUGUGCGGAAGAGAUAACCGCUGAAAGCAUCUAAGCGGGAAACUCGUUCCAAGAUGAGAUCUGCCGGGGCCUUGAGCCCCCUAAAGAGUCGUUCAAGACCAGGACGUUGAUAGGUCAGGUGUGGAAGCGCAGUAAUGCGUUAAGCUAACUGAUACUAAUUGCUCGUGCGGCUUGACUC